This 407-nucleotide ribosomal RNA is filed under the name uncultured Acidothermus sp. RNAcentral describes it as "bacterial SSU rRNA". It matches the Rfam family "Bacterial small subunit ribosomal RNA", at positions 355 to 774 of the family's 1533-position model. The record is from RNAcentral. Lineage: Bacteria; Bacillati; Actinomycetota; Actinomycetes; Acidothermales; Acidothermaceae.
UGGGGAAUAUUGCGCAAUGGGCGAAAGCCUGACGCAGCGACGCCGCGUGGGGGAUGAAGGCCUUCGGGUUGUAAACCCCUUUCAGCAGGGACGAAGCGCAAGUGACGGUACCUGCAGAAGAAGCGCCGGCUAACUACGUGCCAGCAGCCGCGGUAAUACGUAGGGCGCAAGCGUUGUCCGGAAUUAUUGGGCGUAAAGAGCUCGUAGGCGGUCUGUUACGUCCGCUGUGAAAUCCCAGGGCUUAACCCUGGGCUUGCAGUGGAUACGGGCAGACUAGAGGCAGGUAGGGGAGAAUGGAAUUCCCGGUGUAGCGGUGAAAUGCGCAGAUAUCGGGAGGAACACCGGUGGCGAAGGCGGUUCUCUGGGCCUGACCUGACGCUGAGGAGCGAAAGCGUGGGGAGCGAACA